ACAAGAGGCCGAAAAACUCUCUCUCAAAGGAUUGUUAAGGGCGUGGAAAGAAGAAUAUGCCUCUUCCUAUAUUCCUAGAUGAAAGAAAUUUCCUUUAACAAUAUGCAUGACCGACAGGUUUUCUUUAAAGAUGUUACAUUAGGUAACUUCGCCUGACGCACAUUCAAUACAUCCAAAAAAACCUCCAUAUGUAUGUUAUUACAAGCGCAAG
Molecule: long non-coding RNA, 211 nt
Filed under: Eucalyptus grandis
Lineage: Eukaryota; Viridiplantae; Streptophyta; Magnoliopsida; Myrtales; Myrtaceae
Description: long non-coding RNA (EGRA_LNC005940)
Source: RNAcentral